This is a non-coding RNA of Erythranthe guttata (spotted monkey flower), 276 nucleotides long. The record is from RefSeq and is a predicted model, not a curated record. NCBI's taxonomy places the organism in Eukaryota, Viridiplantae, Streptophyta, Magnoliopsida, Lamiales, Phrymaceae.
GACGGCGACCUCGCAGAUCUCGUUCUGGUGGUCUCCGACCACCGGCAGACUGUAAUGCCCGUUGAAUCCGGUCACCCCCUCCACUGAUAUUUAUAGUGAGAGAAAGGAUGAGAGAGAAGCUAAAAAAUGGUGGUGGAAGGAACGAUUAUUUUGCACUGGUUUUACGGCAUUCCACACACUUGGAGAGGAGAGAAUGCUGAUACACACAUUCCCAUGCAUCAUAAUAUUGUACGGACGCAAUUUGUUUUCUUUUUUCAUUAUGAAAAGAAUAUUUCU